This 542-nucleotide ribosomal RNA is filed under the name uncultured microorganism. RNAcentral's name for it is "bacterial SSU rRNA". It matches the Rfam family "Bacterial small subunit ribosomal RNA", at positions 9 to 524 of the family's 1533-position model. The record is from RNAcentral.
GAGUUUGAUCGUGGCUCAGAACGAACGCUGGCGGCGUGCUUAACACAUGCAAGUCGAACGAGAAAGAGCUCUUCGGAGCUUGAGUAAAGUGGCGCACGGGUGAGUAACGCGUAGAUAACCUGUCCAGGUGUUCGGGGAUAGCCCUCCGAAAGGGGGAUUAAUACCGGAUACGUUAGUUGUCAUAAGGCAAAUUAAGAAAGGUGGCCUCUAUUUACAAGCUAUCGCACUUGGAGGGGUCUGCGUACCAUUAGUUUGUUGGUGGGGUAAUGGCCUACCAAGACUUCGAUGGUUAGCGGGUCUGAGAGGAUGAUCCGUCACACUGGCACUGAAACACGGGCCAGACUCCUACGGGAGGCAGCAGUGAGGAAUAUUGCGCAAUGGGGGAAACCCUGACGCAGCGACGCCGCGUGGGUGAGGAAGGCUUUCGGUCGUAAAGCCUGUCAGAAGGGAAGAAAGUGUGUAGUGGUUAAGUACCCAAUUGCGACUUGACGGUACCUUCAAAGGAAGACACCGGCUAACUCCGUGCCAGCAGCCGCCGUAAC